UGGCCUAUGGUGUAAUGGUAGCACAGCAGCCUUUGGAGCUGUUAGUCGUGGUUCGAAUCCACGUAGGCCAG
This 71-nucleotide transfer RNA is filed under the name Chitinophagales bacterium. RNAcentral's name for it is "tRNA-Gln". It matches the Rfam family "tRNA". Rfam says of the family: Transfer RNA (tRNA) molecules are approximately 80 nucleotides in length. Their secondary structure includes four short double-helical elements and three loops (D, anti-codon, and T loops). The record is from RNAcentral. Lineage: Bacteria; Pseudomonadati; Bacteroidota; Chitinophagia; Chitinophagales.